Molecule: ribosomal RNA, 1554 nt
Filed under: Escherichia coli
Lineage: Bacteria; Pseudomonadati; Pseudomonadota; Gammaproteobacteria; Enterobacterales; Enterobacteriaceae
Description: bacterial SSU rRNA
Rfam family: Bacterial small subunit ribosomal RNA
Source: RNAcentral
AAAUUGAAGAGUUUGAUCAUGGCUCAGAUUGAACGCUGGCGGCAGGCCUAACACAUGCAAGUCGAACGGUAACAGGAAGAAGCUUGCUUCUUUGCUGACGAGUGGCGGACGGGUGAGUAAUGUCUGGGAAACUGCCUGAUGGAGGGGGAUAACUACUGGAAACGGUAGCUAAUACCGCAUAACGUCGCAAGACCAAAGAGGGGGACCUUCGGGCCUCUUGCCAUCGGAUGUGCCCAGAUGGGAUUAGCUAGUAGGUGGGGUAACGGCUCACCUAGGCGACGAUCCCUAGCUGGUCUGAGAGGAUGACCAGCCACACUGGAACUGAGACACGGUCCAGACUCCUACGGGAGGCAGCAGUGGGGAAUAUUGCACAAUGGGCGCAAGCCUGAUGCAGCCAUGCCGCGUGUAUGAAGAAGGCCUUCGGGUUGUAAAGUACUUUCAGCGGGGAGGAAGGGAGUAAAGUUAAUACCUUUGCUCAUUGACGUUACCCGCAGAAGAAGCACCGGCUAACUCCGUGCCAGCAGCCGCGGUAAUACGGAGGGUGCAAGCGUUAAUCGGAAUUACUGGGCGUAAAGCGCACGCAGGCGGUUUGUUAAGUCAGAUGUGAAAUCCCCGGGCUCAACCUGGGAACUGCAUCUGAUACUGACAAGCUUGAGUCUCGUAGAGGGGGGUAGAAUUCCAGGUGUAGCGGUGAAAUGCGUAGAGAUCUGGAGGAAUACCGGUGGCGAAGGCGGCCCCCUGGACGAAGACUGACGCUCAGGUGCGAAAGCGUGGGGAGCAAACAGGAUUAGAUACCCUGGUAGUCCACGCCGUAAACGAUGUCGACUUGGAGGUUGUGCCCUUGAGGCGUGGCUUCCGGAGCUAACGCGUUAAGUCGACCGCCUGGGGAGUACGGCCGCAAGGUUAAAACUCAAAUGAAUUGACGGGGGCCCGCACAAGCGGUGGAGCAUGUGGUUUAAUUCGAUGCAACGCGAAGAACCUUACCUGGUCUUGACAUCCACGGAAGUUUUCAGAGAUGAGAAUGUGCCUUCGGGAACCGUGAGACAGGUGCUGCAUGGCUGUCGUCAGCUCGUGUUGUGAAAUGUUGGGUUAAGUCCCGCAACGAGCGCAACCCUUAUCCUUUGUUGCCAGCGGUCCGGCCGGGAACUCAAAGGAGACUGCCAGUGAUAAACUGGAGGAAGGUGGGGAUGACGUCAAGUCAUCAUGGCCCUUACGACCAGGGCUACACACGUGCUACAAUGGCGCAUACAAAGAGAAGCGACCUCGCGAGAGCAAGCGGACCUCAUAAAGUGCGUCGUAGUCCGGAUUGGAGUCUGCAACUCGACUCCAUGAAGUCGGAAUCGCUAGUAAUCGUGGAUCAGAAUGCCACGGUGAAUACGUUCCCGGGCCUUGUACACACCGCCCGUCACACCAUGGGAGUGGGUUGCAAAAGAAGUAGGUAGCUUAACCUUCGGGAGGGCGCUUACCACUUUGUGAUUCAUGACUGGGGUGAAGUCGUAACAAGGUAACCGUAGGGGAACCUGCGGUUGGAUCACCUCCUUACCUUAAAGAAGC